CGGGGCGUAGCGCAGCCCGGUAGCGCGCCUGCUUUGGGAGCAGGAUGCCGCAGGUUCAAAUCCUGCCGCCCCGACCA
RNAcentral lists this transfer RNA (77 nucleotides) under Syntrophus sp. (in: bacteria). RNAcentral describes it as "Syntrophus sp. (in: Bacteria) tRNA-Pro". It matches the Rfam family "tRNA". Rfam says of the family: Transfer RNA (tRNA) molecules are approximately 80 nucleotides in length. Their secondary structure includes four short double-helical elements and three loops (D, anti-codon, and T loops). Further hydrogen bonds mediate the characteristic L-shaped molecular structure. tRNAs have two regions of fundamental functional importance: the anti-codon, which is responsible for specific mRNA codon recognition, and the 3' end, to which the tRNAs corresponding amino acid is attached (by aminoacyl-tRNA synthetases). tRNAs cope with the degeneracy of the genetic code in two manners: having more than one tRNA (with a specific anti-codon) for a particular amino acid; and 'wobble' base-pairing, i.e. permitting non-standard base-pairing at the 3rd anti-codon position. Lineage: Bacteria; Pseudomonadati; Thermodesulfobacteriota; Syntrophia; Syntrophales; Syntrophaceae. RNAcentral also lists the same sequence under 1 other name. The record is from RNAcentral.